UACGUAGGGGGCAAGCGUUGUCCGGAUUUAUUGGGCGUAAAGAGCGUGUAGGCGGCUUUACAGGUCCGUUGUGAAAACUCGAGGCUCAACCUCGAGACGCCGGUGGAAACCGUGAGGCUAGAGUCCGGAAGAGGAGAGUGGAAUUCCUGGUGUAGCGGUGAAAUGCGCAGAUAUCAGGAGGAACACCCGUGGCGAAGGCGGCUCUCUGGGACGGUACUGACGCUGAGACGCGAAAGCGUGGGGAGCAAACAGG
RNAcentral lists this ribosomal RNA (253 nucleotides) under uncultured bacterium. RNAcentral's name for it is "partial 16S ribosomal RNA". It matches the Rfam family "Bacterial small subunit ribosomal RNA", at positions 524 to 776 of the family's 1533-position model. The record is from RNAcentral.